This 497-nucleotide ribosomal RNA is filed under the name uncultured bacterium. Its description in RNAcentral is "partial 16S ribosomal RNA". It matches the Rfam family "Bacterial small subunit ribosomal RNA", at positions 28 to 507 of the family's 1533-position model. The record is from RNAcentral.
GAUGAACGCUGGCGGCGUGCCUAAUACAUGCAAGUCGAGCGAACCGAUGAGGAGCUUGCUCCUCUGACGUUAGCGGCGGACGGGUGAGUAACACGUGGAUAACCUACCUAUAAGACUGGGAUAACUUCGGGAAACCGGAGCUAAUACCGGAUAAUAUAUUGAACCGCAUGGUUCAAUAGUGAAAGACGGUUUUGCUGUCACUUAUAGAUGGAUCCGCGCCGCAUUAGCUAGUUGGUAAGGUAACGGCUUACCAAGGCAACGAUGCGUAGCCGACCUGAGAGGGUGAUCGGCCACACUGGAACUGAGACACGGUCCAGACUCCUACGGGAGGCAGCAGUAGGGAAUCUUCCGCAAUGGGCGAAAGCCUGACGGAGCAACGCCGCGUGAGUGAUGAAGGUCUUCGGAUCGUAAAACUCUGUUAUUAGGGAAGAACAAAUGUGUAAGUAACUAUGCACGUCUUGACGGUACCUAAUCAGAAAGCCACGGCUAACUACGUG